UCUAUUGUUGUUGUUAAUAGGUAGUUACCUACCUAACCAAAGAGGAAUAUAUUAAUCAACUUUUGAUAGUGUAGGUAUAUGAACUACCAUUUAUAACAUCAAUCAAAUAACAAUUUAAAAAGAUGAGUGCUUGCAAUGUUGAAGCAAUAAAAUUGGUAGGGAAAUAUUUAAAUUCAUCUGUUGGAUCUGUUUGCUACAACACUGACAAGGUUAAUUUUUUGUCUUUUUUUUUUGCUCAGAACUUUCCACUUCCUUGCUUUUUAAAAAUUACAAUAACAAUUGCAUUAACAGCAGUGCUAGAUAAGCAAAAUGUGGAAGGAUUUGCUACUAUUGUCCUAUGGUUGGCUUCAAAGAGUGGGGUUCAAAUGAGCCAAGAGCAAUUACUAAAUUCUUAUCAAUGGCUUGAACAUAUCUCUAUGUAUUCAAAUCAGGCUGCAACAAACCCUACAUUUGCCAAAAGUUUCCUACAAGAUAUUAACAAGGCCUUAGAAAAAAACACAUAUUUGACUGGGCAAUUUCUCAAUGUUACAGAUGUAGCAGCAUAUUAUGUGUUAUAUCCAUUAAUAGAGCGUCUGUCUGUAACUGAGCGAGAGUCCCUACUUCAUGUCUGCAGAUGGUCAAAGCACAUCCAAUCACAGCCGCAGGUGUGCACCAGCAAACCACCACUUCAUCUAAAUACUCUUACAUUAUCUGUAUUGGCUCCUGCAGUGCAUUAAUUCCAUUUUACAUGUUAGUAAUUUAUUUCAUAACAUUAAACCAUAAAUCACAGUAGUUUUCUGUUUUGAUUGGUCUGGGCAGUGCCAUGAAAUUAUGCCAUAGUCAUAAAUAAGUGUGUUUGAUAAAGCAUGCAGUGCAGCAUUACAAUUCUUAUUCUUAUUGUAAUCAAUAUUCAAGUAGAAUUGGUGAAUGCGCAUAGAAAUAAUGUGAAUAUUCCAAUCAAAUUUUUAUCUUGCAACAACUAAAUAUGUUUUCUGAAACUUUCUUUUACUAAUUAUACCUACUUAUUUAUAGUGAAACAAUGCUCAAUUAAAUCUCAAAAGAUAUGUCUUAAUCAAAAAUCUAUAAAAAAUAAUGUAAUCAGUGCCACAGAACAUAAAAAGUUGGAGCCUGGCAGUGUUAAGCCUUUGCCGAAACAGAUGUUGCCACACGAACUCCGUGAAGCAAAUUUAGACAAACCUGUCAUAUAUCAUCCACAACCAUUUUCUUAUCCUGGAUAUCCAAUUAUUGUUUAUUUAUGAAGGAAGGUACUUAGGCUUUUUAUUUAAACAUUUUCUUUUUAGAUCUUAUGAAUUUAAAUCUAAGUAUGUUUUUUACGUGUAACUAUGAGCCCGGCUUCUUAUGAUUGCUGAGUAGGUUACCAAAUAAGCUUAUUGAUUAUGCAUUGAAAUUAAUAAAUGUUUCAUCCAA
RNA transcript from Plodia interpunctella (Indianmeal moth), 1407 nucleotides. It is a transcript of the gene named aaRS-interacting multifunctional protein 3, with no coding region annotated. Lineage: Eukaryota; Metazoa; Arthropoda; Insecta; Lepidoptera; Pyralidae. The record is from RefSeq and is a predicted model, not a curated record. The transcript is spliced from 5 exons.